Molecule: transfer RNA, 79 nt
Filed under: Teredinibacter turnerae T7901
Lineage: Bacteria; Pseudomonadati; Pseudomonadota; Gammaproteobacteria; Cellvibrionales; Cellvibrionaceae
Also listed under: 1 other name
Description: tRNA-Ile
Rfam family: tRNA
About the family: Transfer RNA (tRNA) molecules are approximately 80 nucleotides in length. Their secondary structure includes four short double-helical elements and three loops (D, anti-codon, and T loops).
Source: RNAcentral
UAGGCCUGUAGCUCAGCUGGUUAGAGCGCACCCCUGAUAAGGGUGAGGUCGGCAGUUCAAGUCUGCCCAGGCCUACCAC